AGAACUUCGGUCCUUAUGAGAAGCCAGCAGUGCUGUGUACCCAGCAGUGAGAGGUGCAGUGAUUGACUGCUGUGAAUUCAGUGACUGGCAUAUGAUACGGAGGCCAAACUGGGCUCAAGAGUGACUGAAAACAAGCCCAGAGGGAAGGACACUGCAGAAGGCAGAUUCUUUACCGUCUGAGCCACCAGAGAAGCCCCAUGCUGCUGACAACACUAGCACAGAGAAGCUUGUCUUAUUACUGAGCAA
Molecule: long non-coding RNA, 246 nt
Organism: Dama dama (fallow deer)
Lineage: Eukaryota; Metazoa; Chordata; Mammalia; Artiodactyla; Cervidae
Exons: 3
Source: RefSeq, a predicted model, not a curated record